This 403-nucleotide ribosomal RNA is filed under the name uncultured delta proteobacterium 400m-FREE-16. RNAcentral describes it as "partial 16S ribosomal RNA". Lineage: Bacteria; Deltaproteobacteria. The record is from RNAcentral.
GGUUACCUUGUUACGACUUCACCCCAGUCGUCAACCAGAGCUUGGGCGCCUGCCUCCCGAAGGUUAGCUCGGCGACUUCUGCCCUUGUCGGCUCCCAUGGUGUGACGGGCGGUGUGUACAAGGCCCGGGAACGUAUUCACCGCGGCGUGCUGAUCCGCGAUUACUAGCGAUUCCAGCUUCACGCAGUCGAGUUGCAGACUGCGAUCCGAACUGAGAGAGCUUUUCUGGGAUUGGCAUGGCCUCUCGGCUUAGCAUCCCUCUGUAACUCCCAUUGUAACACGUGUGUAGCCCUGGUCAUAAAGGCCAUGAGGACUUGACGUCAUCCCCACCUUCCUCCGGCUUGUCACCGGCAGUCCCCCUAAAGUGCUCCGCUUGUCCCGAUGGCAAUUAAUGGCAGGGGUUG